AGUCGUACGCUUCUUUUUCCACCGGAGCUUGCUCCACCGGAAAAAGAGGAGUGGCGAACGGGUGAGUAACACGUGGGUAACCUGCCCAUCAGAAGGGGAUAACACUUGGAAACAGGUGCUAAUACCGUAUAACAAUCGAAACCGCAUGGUUUUGAUUUGAAAGGCGCUUUCGGGUGUCGCUGAUGGAUGGACCCGCGGUGCAUUAGCUAGUUGGUGAGGUAACGGCUCACCAAGGCCACGAUGCAUAGCCGACCUGAGAGGGUGAUCGGCCACAUUGGGACUGAGACACGGCCCAAACUCCUACGGGAGGCAGCAGUAGGGAAUCUUCGGCAAUGGACGAAAGUCUGACCGAGCAACGCCGCGUGAGUGAAGAAGGUUUUCGGAUCGUAAAACUCUGUUGUUAGAGAAGAACAAGGAUGAGAGUAACUGUUCAUCCCUUGACGGUAUCUAACCAGAAAGCCACGGCUAACUACGUGCCAGCAGCCGCGGUAAUACGUAGGUGGCAAGCGUUGUCCGGAUUUAUUGGGCGUAAAGCGAGCGCAGGCGGUUUCUUAAGUCUGAUGUGAAAGCCCCCGGCUCAACCGGGGAGGGUCAUUGGAAACUGGGAGACUUGAGUGCAGAAGAGGAGAGUGGAAUUCCAUGUGUAGCGGUGAAAUGCGUACAUAUAUGGAGGAACACCCGUGGCGAACGCGGCUCUCUGGUCUGUAACUGACGCUGACGCUCGAAAGCGUGCGGAGCAGACAGGAGUAGAUACCCUGCUAGUCCACGCCGUCCACGAUGACUGCGGAAUGUUGCACGGUGUCUGCCCCUCAGUGCUGCAGC
This 822-nucleotide ribosomal RNA is filed under the name Enterococcus durans. RNAcentral describes it as "bacterial SSU rRNA". It matches the Rfam family "Bacterial small subunit ribosomal RNA", at positions 60 to 852 of the family's 1533-position model. Lineage: Bacteria; Bacillati; Bacillota; Bacilli; Lactobacillales; Enterococcaceae. The record is from RNAcentral.